UACGUAGGGUGCAAGCGUUGUCCGGAAUUAUUGGGCGUAAAGAGCUCGUAGGCGGUUUGUCGCGUCGGCCGUGAAAACUUGGGGCUUAAACCCGAGCCUGCGGUCGAUACGGGCAGACUUGAGUUCGGCAGGGGAGACUGGAAUUCCUGGUGUAGCGGUGAAAUGCGCAGAUAUCAGGAGGAACACCGGUGGCGAAGGCGGGUCUCUGGGCCGAUACUGACGCUGAGGAGCGAAAGCGUGGGGAGCGAACAGG
Molecule: ribosomal RNA, 253 nt
Filed under: uncultured bacterium
Lineage: Bacteria
Description: partial 16S ribosomal RNA
Rfam family: Bacterial small subunit ribosomal RNA
Source: RNAcentral